This is a non-coding RNA of Lactuca sativa (garden lettuce), 643 nucleotides long. NCBI's taxonomy places the organism in Eukaryota, Viridiplantae, Streptophyta, Magnoliopsida, Asterales, Asteraceae. The record is from RefSeq and is a predicted model, not a curated record.
UUGUUCAAUCAGUCAUACCAAUGUAGAAACGAACGGACCACGAAGGAACGAAACUGAUGAACGAAGGCUCACAGCGAUAAAGUAGUUUCGUCGGUCGAUUCGCGAUGUGGUAGGCGUUUCCGGGGGUCGACGAGACCGAAGCGACGAAGGGGACGAAGCAGUGAGUUGUCUUCGUUCUCGUCCGUCUGCGAGGUGCGAAGGAAAGCAAGAAGUUGGUCCGAUGGUUUUGUCUAUCGAUCGCGAAAAAGGAACGUCCCCGAGGAUCGAUGAGGCCGAAGAGAAGGAGUGAAGAGCAGCGAGGGAUUUCGUUUGUCUUGGUGGUUACAGCGAGGGGCCGCUCAAGCAGCCUCUCGACUGCUUGCUUCUUCUCCGGCAGUGGAUCGCGAAGGGAAAGGGGAAGGUUCAAGUGCAGAUAGUUCGGUGAUUGGAGGUCAAUCUCAAGAAGGGGAAAGAACGAGGGGGAGGAGGAGGGAUGUACAGUCGCUUGUUCUUCUUCUCCUUUGGCUGAAGAUCCAUAAACGGGAAGGAAAGAAGAAGAUAUCAUUUUUUGGAUAGAUUUCAAAAUCUGACCGUAUCAUUUUUUUAAAUGAUUUUUAUUGGACAACAUUUGGCAAUGAAUGAAAAAGAGUGUUUGUGUGUAAAA